Molecule: ribosomal RNA, 469 nt
Filed under: uncultured Syntrophus sp.
Lineage: Bacteria; Pseudomonadati; Thermodesulfobacteriota; Syntrophia; Syntrophales; Syntrophaceae
Description: bacterial SSU rRNA
Rfam family: Bacterial small subunit ribosomal RNA
Source: RNAcentral
GACGGGGCCCGCACAAGCGGUGGGCAUGUGGUUUAAUUCGAUGCAACGCGAAGAACCUUACCUGGGCUUGACAUCCCGAGAAUCCCCUGGAAACAGGGGAGUGCCUUUCGGGGAACUCGGAGACAGGUGCUGCAUGGCUGUCGUCAGCUCGUGUCGUGAGAUGUUGGGUUAAGUCCCGCAACGAGCGCAACCCUUGUCUUUAAUUGCCAGCAUUCAGUUGGGCACUUUAAAGAGACUGCCGGUGUUAAGCCGGAGGAAGGUGGGGAUGACGUCAAGUCCUCAUGGCCUUUAUGCCCAGGGCUACACACGUGCUACAAUGGGUGGUACAAAGAGAUGCCAACUCGCGAGAGCGCGCCAAUCUCAGAAAGCCAUCCUCAGUUCGGAUUGGAGUCUGCAACUCGACUCCAUGAAGUUGGAAUCGCUAGUAAUCGCGGAUCAGCACGCCGCGGUGAAUACGUUCCCGGGCCUU